AUGAAAUUGAAAAUAUUCCGAGAUGGCAAAUAUUCGGAGAUGACUAUGAAAACACCUCUCUGGUUCCUCGAAUUGAAAGAGAGAUGGAUCCGUACAUCUCGAUCGGAAAAGAAUCAAUAG
This 120-nucleotide ribosomal RNA is filed under the name Triticum aestivum (bread wheat). RNAcentral's name for it is "partial small subunit ribosomal RNA". The record is from RNAcentral. Lineage: Eukaryota; Viridiplantae; Streptophyta; Magnoliopsida; Poales; Poaceae.